RNA transcript from Antechinus flavipes (yellow-footed antechinus), 5301 nucleotides. It is a transcript of the gene named CDKN2A interacting protein N-terminal like, with no coding region annotated. The transcript is spliced from 2 exons. Lineage: Eukaryota; Metazoa; Chordata; Mammalia; Dasyuromorphia; Dasyuridae. The record is from RefSeq and is a predicted model, not a curated record.
UUGAUAUGCGUGAAUGGCACUUAAAAUAAAGAUAUUAUGUUAACUCCAAAAAAAGGUGGGGGAUAGCUAGGUGGCACAGUGGAUAGAGCACCAGCCCUGAAGUCUGGAGGACCUGAGUUCAAAUGUAACCUCAGACACUUAACACUUCCUAGCUGUGUGGCUCUGGGCAAGUCACUUAACCCCAAUUGACUCAGAAGAAGAAAAAAAGAAAUUAGUUGUGAGAACACUGAGUCUAGAUUAUAUGUGAAUGGAGAAGGGACUUCAAUUUGAUGGGGACAUACUUUUACUUCAGAUUGUUAAGGACAUACUUCAAGAGAGGUCCUUAAUCAAAAAAGAAUAAAUUAUCACUACCACCCUCCCCUACAAAUGGGGAAAUGACAGAAACUACAUAACUUACAUAAUCAGUACUUGAUAAACUGUAAAAAAUAAUAAAUCAGAAUUCAGUUGCCCAAAGUACAGGAUGAGUCAGAGAGAAGGAAACAGAACAAGAAAGCAAGUUUCCUGAAUUUGACCUAGUUUUCUCAUGAGGUUGAGCAAGGCAGAAAACCCUUCUUCCAGUAAGAGAUGAGACUUUUGAUUUUUUUUUUUAAAGGAUGAUAAUAAGCAGUUACAUUUAUCCAGUACUAAUAUUUGCUAACCAUCUUCCUUCCUUCAGAUUUGGGAAGCCAGUAGAGCAAUUUUUCCUAUUUUAUAUAUGAGAAAACAAGAUUAAAGAGGGGGAUUUAUAAUAGAUUAAUAACUCAAGUCAGGACUGUAGCCCAGAGUUUCUGAUGUCAAGUUCAACACUAGAAAUUCUUCCCUGUCUCUUCAAAAGUGAAAUGAAUCUUAUAAUCAGCCUGUCAAAAGCCAUUGCAUUCUUCACAUGCAGGUUGACAGGACUGAGGGUGCAGUCCCUUGCUGUCAAUGUCCCCACACUGUCCAGGGAAAGGCUCAGCCCAAUAACUAAAGGGAUCAGUCUGACUGCAUUAGAUUUUCAGGUUUUCCUUUGGAUCUGCACAACCAGGAAUUCUCAAAACAAACUCAGCAUCCCUUGGGAAGGAAGCAGUAUUGCCUGUCAUAGGAACAGAUGCUAUUAGACAUUCCUACCUUCUUCUCCCUUCCUGCCCUCACAGUUAUGCUGGCUGAUGAGAUUUCUCUCCUUCCUUGACUUAAUUCUUCAGCUACACUAGAUCAGUCUCCCUGCCGUGCUUGCAAAACCACUGCCCUCUGCUGUCCAGAAGAUGGCAAAUGCACGUUGAGAUGGAUGGCUCUAUAUAUGUUGCAGAAUACUUUUCCAUUUCCUGAAGUUGUGUACAGAGUCAGAGACAAAGCAGAGGUGUCAAACUCAAGGCCCUGUGGUUGGCAAGCAGUUGCAUACUCCAAGUGCUACCUAAAUUGGAUUAAAAUCCAAUUGAGAAAUGUUUAACAACAAAAAAAAAUGCAGUAUGUCAGUUAAUUUGAAUUAGUUUUCUAAGUCAAUAUGCAGUCUGUGGGAAAUAAUUAUCUUAUUGAGUAUAUUUUAAGCCCUUCACUCUUUUAUAGUGGUGGCUGCUAAAUCAUGUAUAAUCCUGACUGUGGGUCCUUAGUACAUAUAUUCUUGGUUCUAAUAGUAUUUUAUUUUUUCCUCCAGUUACAUGUCAAGAAAACUUUUGAAAUUCACUUUUACAAGAUUUUGAAUUACAGAUUUUUCUUCUCUCCUUCCUCUCCCCUUUUCCUAAAGUGGUAGCUUGAUAUAGUUUAUACCUGUGUUACUAUGUAAAACAUAUUUCCAUACUAGUCACAGUAGUUAAAGAAAAAAUUAUCAAAAAACCAAAAGAAUAAAGUAAAAAAAAAAAAUCCUUCAAUAUGCAUUCAAAGUCCUUCAGUUAUUUAUUUGGAUACUAAUAGCAUUUUCCUUUGUAUUUGUCUUGGAUCAUUGUGUUUUUACAUUUAGAGGUGAUCAUCACACAAUAUUGCUUAAUAUUGGAUCAGAUUUUCCUGAUUCUGUUCAUUUUACUUUGUAUCAGUCUGUACAAGUCUUUCUAGGUUUUUCUGAAAUCUGAUUGCUCAUCAUUUAUUGUAUAAUAGUUUUCCAUUACUUUCAUAUGUCACAGCUUGUUUAGCUCUUCCCCAAUUGAUGUGUUCCUUCAAUAUUCAAUAUUUUACCACUAUGAAAAGGGAUGCUAUAUUUUUGUACAUGUAGGCCUUUCCCUGCUUCUUAUCUCUUUGGGAGACAAACCUAGUUCAUUAUAUAUUUGUGAGGCCUUUAUCAGAGACUGCUGUAAAGACUGUUUUCCAGUUGUUUACUUCCAUUCUAAUCUUGGUUGCUUUGGUUUUUAAGGCUUUAAAGACUUAAAAUUAGUUUCCAUUUUUGCAAUGACACUCUUUGUCUUUGUCUUCCUGUAACUUAACUUCAAGAUUCUGAAAAUUACACCACUUGGUGCACAUAUUAUAUUAAAUAUUGAUAUUGCUUCAUUGUCUAUAAAAUCUUUUAACAAGAUGUAGUUUCCGUCCUUGUAAUUAGGUUUAUAUUUACUUUUAUUUUGAAUGAGAUUGAUUGCUAGCCCCCUCCCUUUAUCAAUUUCAACUGAAGCAUAGUAGAUUCUGCUCCAGCUUCUUACCUUUAUUUUAUGUUUGUCUCUCUACUACAAGUGUAUUUCUUACAUAUUGUAAGAUUCUGGUUUUUGAUCCCUUUGCUAUCUGCUUCUGUUUUAUGGGCAAGUUCAUCCUACUUACAUGAAAUUAUGAUUAAUUUCUGUGUAAUCUUCCUCCUGUUUGUCCUCUUCCUUUUUCCCUUUCCCUCUUUACCAGUGUUUUGCUUCUACUAUCUCCCCUGAUAUGCCUUCCCUUCCCCUUUAUUGAAUCUCUCCUCCUACUCCCCUUUCAGAUUAGAAUUCUAUGUUCAACUGAUUAUAUAUAUUACUCCCUCUUUGAACCAAUAUUGAUGAGGUUUGAGCAAUGCUCAUUGUCUACUCUCCCAUGCUUUUCUACUUUAAUAGGUCUUUCAUACAUCAUGUGAAGUAAUUUACAUCAUUCUUUCUUCCUUCUGCACUCAAUAAACUUCUUUUUCUCAUCUCUUAAUUUUUUUUCAUGUCAUUCCUUCAAAUUCACCUUAUAUUUGUACUAUGUAUAUUCUUUUUAGUUGUACUAUUAGUGAUACAAUUUUUAAGAAUUAUAAAUAUCUUCCCAUGGAUGAAUGUAAACAAUUUAGCUCUAUUAAAUAAAUACCCUUUCCCCCCUUUUUGGAAAUCAGUUUUUUUUGUUUUUUUUUUUAGUUCUGAUUUCUUUAUGAAAGCUUGAAAUCCUAUUUCAUUGAAUGGACUUUUUUUUUCCCCUUGACAUAUUAAGCUUAAUUUUGCUAAGUAAUGUUUAGUUGUAGUCCUAGCUCUUUUGCCUUUUGGAAUAUCAUCUCUGAUUCUUUAAUUUAAUAUUGAAGCUGCCAAAUCUAAUCAUUCUGUUGUGUCUCCUGGAUCUAUUUUCUAGAUCAGUUUUUCUUAUGAGAUAUUGUUGCAUUUUCUUCCAUUUUUUCAUUCUUUUUGAUUCUUUGUAUCUUAUAGAGUCAUUAGCUUCUACUUGCCUGAUUCUAACUUUUAAGAUAGUUUUCCAUUUGUAUUCUUUAAGGAAUUUUCCAAGCUAUUGACUUAUUUUCAUACUUCUCUUGCAUCACCCUCAUUUCUUUCCUCACUUUUUCUUUUACUUCUCCUACAUGAUUUUUAAACUUCUUUUUGAGCUCCUCCAUGAGUUUUUUCCUAGGCUUGAGACUGUUUUCUUUCAGGGUUUUGCUUAUAGGUUUUUUGGCAUUGUUGCCCUCCACUGAGUUUGUGUCUGUUUUCCCUUUUAUUAUAAUAACUUUCUAAGAGUUUAUAUAUAAUAUAUGGAUAUAUAUUUUUGGGGGGGGGUGGGAGGGGGGAAGGUGUGAGUUUUUUUUCUUUUUAAAUUUAUGCUCUGCUCCCAGGGUAGAAAUACUGUCUCAGGUUUCUUGUGCCAGUGACUGCCACUUUGUUAACUUGGUAAACUGAAGUUGCCCUGAGGCCCACAGGUUAAGACCCUAGAGUCUAGUGUAAUACUUUUAAGUUUGGGGUUGGGAUACCUGGUCCUUAUGGAGGCUGUAAGAAUUCUGGUAACUUACUUGGUGCUGAGUUGAGGUCCUAGUGAUGCUAUCUGGUGUGUGCAGAGAUCCAUUUGGGUGUUUCUGCAUUUCCCAAGGGCUAUGCUAAAGCACAUGAAAAUCUGGCCUUGGAAGCUGCCUGUUUUUGCUUGGGACUACACCAAAACACAUGGUGAUUCCCAGACCUGGAAUCAGCCAUUUCCCCUGACUAUGCUAAGAUAUAUGGGAGAUCCUGGUAUUAGCAUUUGUUAGCUCUAUCACACUGGGGCUUGGGAGCUGUUCCACAUAUUCUUCCUUUAUAGCUACUUAAGGUCCCUUUUUUUUUUUUUUUUUUUUUUUAAACAUGGAAAGUCUAGAUUUUUGGCUAUGAUAAUCCUUGGAGUUUUCAUUUUGAGGUUUCUUUCGGGAGAUGACUGGUAGAUUAUAUUUCUUUAUACAUUCUAUUUUUUCAGUUAUUGGCUUCUAUAUGAUUCAUUUCAGUUUUCAGUGAGUUUGUUGCUUGGCCAAGUUUCUCUUGUACUUCUUAUGCCAAGGUGUUAAUUCCCUUUCAGUCUUUCAUUACUCUUCUUUUGAUUUUUUUCCCUUAAGCUCUUUCAUUCCAUUUAUAAAAAUAUUUUCAGAUCUUUCAGUAAUGCUAGUUGAGUUUGUAUCUAAGCUGUGUUUUUCUUAAAAGGCUUUGCUUGUAAUUAUUUUGUAGUUAUUAUCUUCUGUUUUUUGUAUCUUGAGCAUCCCUGACAUUUUCAUAGCUCAUUAUGGUGGUAUCCUCUUUUGGUUUUCAUAUUUUCUCAGCUACUUUCUAUUUUUGCAUUUGAUAUUAGGUUUGGACUUUGCAGGACUUCUGGAGGGAAGGUCAGGGUUAGUCUUGUUGCUUUUUAUGGAAUACUGAGUAUUGUGCUAUUCCAGGAUCCCAGGGUGAACUGGUGAACUGCAAGCUUUCAAUGCUCCCAAAGUGUUCGAAUCCAGGCAAAAUCUGUUGUCUCCCUCAUCUGAAUUCUGAAUUCAUCUUCCUUGGAGAAGGGUGGGAAGAGAAGAUGCUAGAAAUAUCUGUUUUUGUCUCCCUGCGAACCACAUCUAGACAGACCUAUGUGGGCACACAUAGCCUACAUUGGGCAAAAACAAAACAACAGGUAUUGAAUAAUCAAACUUCUACCAGUGAGGAGUAAAGUCCCAUGCAAUUGGCUCUGUAAACCAAGGGUUAUAUUAGAAACAAUAAAGCAAAUUUGACAAGACCGUAA